RNAcentral lists this ribosomal RNA (253 nucleotides) under uncultured bacterium. RNAcentral describes it as "partial 16S ribosomal RNA". It matches the Rfam family "Bacterial small subunit ribosomal RNA", at positions 524 to 776 of the family's 1533-position model. The record is from RNAcentral.
UACGGAGGGGGCUAGCGUUGUUCGGAAUUACUGGGCGUAAAGCGCACGUAGUCGGCUUUGCAAGUCGGGUGUGAAAUCCCCGGGCUCAACCUGGGAACUGCAUCCGAGACUGCAUUGCUAGAGUAUGGGAGAGGGAAGCGGAAUUUCUGGUGUAGCAGUGAAAUGCGUAGAUAUCAGAAGGAACAUCAGUGGCGAAGGCGGCUUCCUGGACCAAUACUGACGAUCAGGUGCGAAAGCGUGGGGAGCAAACAGG